RNAcentral lists this transfer RNA (72 nucleotides) under Urocitellus parryii (Arctic ground squirrel). RNAcentral describes it as "Spermophilus parryii (Arctic ground squirrel) tRNA". It matches the Rfam family "tRNA". Rfam says of the family: Transfer RNA (tRNA) molecules are approximately 80 nucleotides in length. RNAcentral also lists the same sequence under 1 other name. Lineage: Eukaryota; Metazoa; Chordata; Mammalia; Rodentia; Sciuridae. The record is from Rfam by way of RNAcentral.
GGGAAUGUGGCUCAGUGGUAGAGUGCUUGCCUAGCUUGUGGGAGGCCCUGGGUUCUAUCCCCAGCACUGCCA